Molecule: ribosomal RNA, 699 nt
Filed under: uncultured bacterium
Lineage: Bacteria
Description: bacterial SSU rRNA
Rfam family: Bacterial small subunit ribosomal RNA
Source: RNAcentral
UAACACGUAGGGAACCUGCCCGUGCACCGGGAAUACGCUCUGGAAACGGAGAACAAAUCCCGAUGUACAGGAAGGAGGCAUCUUCUUUCUGUGAAACAUCCUUUAGGGGAUGGGGCGCGGAUGGACCUGCGGUGCAUUAGUUGGUUGGCGGGGUAAAGGCCCACCAAGACGAUGAUGCAUAGCCGGCCUGAGAGGGCGGACGGCCACAUUGGGACUGAGACACGGCCCAGACUCCUGCGGGAGGCAGCAGUAGGGAAUUUUCGUCAAUGGGCGCAAGCCUGAACGAGCGAUGCCGCGUGAGUGAAGAAGGCCUUCGGGUCGUAAAGCUCUGUUGCGGGGGAAAAAAGGCAGCAUCAGGAAAUGGGUGCUGACUGAUGGUGCCCCGCCAGAAAGUCACGGCUAACUACGUGCCAGCAGCCGCGGUAAUACGUAGGUGGCGAGCGUUAUCCGGAAUGAUUGGGCGUAAAGGGUGCGCAGGCGGUCCUGCAAGUCUGGAGUGAAACGCAUGAGCUCAACUCAUGCAUGGCUUUGGAAACUGGAGGACUGGAGAGCAGGAGAGGGCGGUGGAACUCCAUGUGUAGCGGUAAAAUGCGUAGAUAUAUGGAAGAACACCAGUGGCGAAGGCGGCCGCCUGGCCUGUUGCUGACGCUGAGGCACGAAAGCGUGGGGAGCAAAUAGGAUUAGAUACCCUAGUAGUCC